Molecule: long non-coding RNA, 1405 nt
Organism: Cavia porcellus (domestic guinea pig)
Lineage: Eukaryota; Metazoa; Chordata; Mammalia; Rodentia; Caviidae
Exons: 2
Source: RefSeq, a predicted model, not a curated record
UCCAAUCCCCUCCUCAUGAGGUCCCCUCCCCCAAAGACUCUCCAACAUGCUAAUCCUAUGAACUGCGACACACCACAGCUUUUCGGGAAAGAAUAAUGGCGAGGAAAGAGGAGAGCGAUUGCGGGGAGAAGAUGAGGCUAGAGCAUUACUGCAACCCCGUAUGAAGACGAGGGAAAGGAACCAUGGUGGAUGGAGAAGGAAGACCGGCUCCUAGGACAAACCCAGGGCUGCAGAAAAUGGGCCAAGACCCCUUACUCCACUCCCCAACAACAACAACAAACCAAACAAUAGGACUAUCUCUGCACAACCAGCACCCGUCUGAAAUAUCGUUUACCCCAAUAUGACUUAGGCAGAUUAAGCCUGAAGAUUAAAAAAAAAAAAUACCAGCUCUGCUCAUCUCUCUCCCUACCAUCCUCCCGACACGUACCCAGCAGCCCUUAGGUAAACUUGCCCAUCAUAACCAGCGGGACCAUUGUAACUUGAAAGGCGACGCAGAAGCUCUUGAAGGAGGAAGCAAAGCUCUACCCAGAACAGCAAAUUCAGAAAGGGUUCUUCAGGCUCCCCAGACUAACCUCCAAGUGCCCCCAGAUAUAUUAUCCCAGGAACCAAGUCACCCAGUAUGCUGGGAGUUCAAAUUUCCAUUAGAACCUUCAUCACAAAGGCAAAUGGUCAUCUGACCCUGAAUCUACACCAUUGUCCAGGUGUGACAAGGAGUGUCGCUCCCCUCCCAGGACCACCUUCAGGACCCUGGGCAGUAAAUAAAUUAAGAAUGUUGGGGUGGCUUAUGGUAGCAAAAGAAACGCUAUCUCUCCAAAGCGGGAAUAACUGAGGAAGCGGGGACAAGGCUGCUCCCGUUCUGUCAGCCGUCUUAUUUGGUCUGAGUGGACUUGCCCCAUCCUAGGCUACCUCUCAAUGAUCUCUGACUUUUACAUUUUAAAAAUAAACAGAUAAAAAUAAAGACCAGGACAGAGGAAACCUACUUUGCCUAAACCCUAAUAAUGGUUCGCAAAAAAAUACAAUUUUCUAAUUGCAUGACGAUACUUCUGCAAUCAAAUCAAAAGAGAUAGGUAUUUAAUGGACGAAGGGAGAAAUUUAUUUUUUUAACAAGUAAUCACAGGGUAAGUCACCUGCAAAGCAGCCGAGCCCAUAGGUUGGUAUUACAUCACUGGCCUAGGAAGAGAUGGGGGUGGGGGGAUAGAUUAUUUUUCCCUUGUCAUCAGGAUGCUGUUCCCAAAGCAGUUAAGUUUUGUGGUUAAAAAAGCAAGAGGGAAAGAGCUGAAACUCUGGGUAUAGCACAAUGCCUUGAAAAAACAAUACAUCGAACCAGGCUUUAAGGUCACUGAGAGCUUGCAAAAGCCACAGUGCUUACACAGAGUGGAAGUUUUCAGGCAAGCCUGCUACUAAA